RNAcentral lists this ribosomal RNA (117 nucleotides) under Salmonella enterica subsp. enterica serovar Anatum. RNAcentral describes it as "partial 16S ribosomal RNA". It matches the Rfam family "Bacterial small subunit ribosomal RNA", at positions 1427 to 1533 of the family's 1533-position model. The record is from RNAcentral. Lineage: Bacteria; Pseudomonadati; Pseudomonadota; Gammaproteobacteria; Enterobacterales; Enterobacteriaceae.
UAGGUAGCUUAACCUUCGGGAGGGCGCUUAGCACUAUGUGAUUCAUGACUGGGGUGAAGUCGUAACAAGGUAACCGUAGGGGAACCUGCGGUUGGAUCACCUCCUUACCUUAAAGAA